Myotis davidii is the source of this 73-nucleotide non-coding RNA. The record is from Rfam. Lineage: Eukaryota; Metazoa; Chordata; Mammalia; Chiroptera; Vespertilionidae.
GGCCAGGUAGCUCAGUUGGUUAGAGCAUCGUCCUGAUAUGCUGAAAUUGCAGGUUCAAUUCCCAGUCUGGCCA